This 468-nucleotide ribosomal RNA is filed under the name uncultured bacterium. Its description in RNAcentral is "partial 16S ribosomal RNA". It matches the Rfam family "Bacterial small subunit ribosomal RNA", at positions 28 to 507 of the family's 1533-position model. The record is from RNAcentral.
GACGAACGCUGGCGGCGUGCUUAAUACAUGCAAGUCGAACGGAAAAGGCGUGCCUUGGUUGGCUGCUCGAGUGGCGAACGGGUGAGUAACACGUGGGUAACCUGCCCGGUAGCGGGGGAUAACUACUGGAAACGGGGGCUAAUACCGCAUAGGAGCAGCUGCUGCAUGACAUGUGCUGGAAAGUUUCGGCGGUUUGGGUUGGACAUGCGGCUGCGCAGCUUUUUGGAGGGGUUGUGGCUAAGCACGGCUUUGACGGGGAGCCGGCCUGGGAGGGUGACCGGCCACAUUGGGACUGAGAUACGGCCCAGACUCCUACGGGAGGCAGCGGUGGGAAAUAUUGCACAAUGGGCGGAAGGCUGAUGCAGCAACGUCGCGUGCGGGAUGACGGCCUUCGGGUUGUAAACCGCUUUCGCCUGUGACGAAGAGUGAGUGACGGUAAUGGGUAAGGAAGCACCGGCUAACUACGUG